RNAcentral lists this long non-coding RNA (291 nucleotides) under Zea mays. RNAcentral describes it as "long non-coding RNA (ZMAY_LNC005771)". The record is from RNAcentral. Lineage: Eukaryota; Viridiplantae; Streptophyta; Magnoliopsida; Poales; Poaceae.
AGUGGCGGAACUUUGCUCACGACAGGACUAGGGCCAUUCGAAAAAAAUUUAGCACAGACUAAUUGACAGAUAAGAAUAAGUACCUAAUCGAUGAAGAAUUAUUGUAUUUGUUCCACUUAGCUUCUUGUUUCUGCAUCAACAAUCGAAUCAGACCGCAGACCUACGUAAAAAAUGAACACAAGUUAUAUAUAUAACAAUUUUAAGACCGUGUCAAACUUCAAUUAUUUAAUAAACUGAACAUACCAUUAACACUAGUAGCCUGAUGUUGUUUAGGCAACAUUUUCAUGCGAG